Molecule: ribosomal RNA, 549 nt
Filed under: uncultured bacterium
Lineage: Bacteria
Description: bacterial SSU rRNA
Rfam family: Bacterial small subunit ribosomal RNA
Source: RNAcentral
GAUGAACGCUAGCGGCAGGCUUAAUACAUGCAAGUUGAGGGGCAGCAUGAUAUACGCAAGUAUAUUGAUGGCGACCGGCGGACGGGUGAGUAUAAGGUAGGAGACCUACCUCAUACAGGGGGAUAGCAUAGAGAAAUCUGUGGUAAUACCCCAUGAGGUUAUAUGAAUAGAGGCAUAUAAUCAAAGUAUACGAGAGUAUGCGGUAUGAGAUGGGCCUACUGACCAUUAGCUAGUUGGUGAGGUAAGGGCUCACCAAGGCGAAGAUGGUUAGGGGUUUUGAGAGAGAGAUCCCCCACAUUGGAACUGAGAUACGGUCCAGACUCCUACGGGAGGCAGCAGUAGGGAAUAUUGGGCAAUGGGCGAAAGCCUGACCCAGCCAUGCCGCGUGAAGGAAGACGGCCUUAUGGGUUGUAAACUUCUUUACUAUACGAAUAGAGGUUAGUACGAGUUACUAAUAGGAAGGUAGUAUAGCAAAAAGCACCGGCUAACUCCGUGCCAGCAGCCGCGGUAAUACGGAGGGUGCAAGCGUUAUUCGGAAUUACUGGGUUU